CAGUCGCCACGGUAAUACGUAGGUGGCAAGCAUUGUCCGGAAUUAUUGGGCAUAAAGUGUCUGUAGGUGGCUUUUCAAGUCCGCCGUCAAAUCCCAGGGCUCAACCGUGGACAGGCGGUGGAAACUACCAAGCUGGAGUAUGGUAGGGGCAGAGGGAAUUUCCGGUGGAGCGGUGAAAUGCGUUGAGAUCGGAAAGAACACCAACAGCGAAAGCACUCUGCUGGGACGACACUGACACUAAGAGACGAAAGCUAGGGGAGCAAAUGGGAUUAGAUACCCCCGUAGUCCCUGUCUCUUAUAA
Molecule: ribosomal RNA, 301 nt
Filed under: uncultured bacterium
Lineage: Bacteria
Description: partial 16S ribosomal RNA
Rfam family: Bacterial small subunit ribosomal RNA
Source: RNAcentral